Triticum aestivum (bread wheat) is the source of this 396-nucleotide long non-coding RNA. RefSeq lists it as uncharacterized. NCBI's taxonomy places the organism in Eukaryota, Viridiplantae, Streptophyta, Magnoliopsida, Poales, Poaceae. The record is from RefSeq and is a predicted model, not a curated record. The transcript has 2 exons.
UGCAAACAUCGACUGAUAAGCAAAGAAAAUAUUCGAAGCCUUAGAAAAUUAUGAUGAAGAACAUGAUGCAAACCCGCAGACUUGUUUUGCUUUUGCUGGUGCUUGGAUGCUUUACUUCUCAUGCAAAUUGCCAAGCUAAGAAGGAGACGAUGGAUGAGGAAAAGAUUGUUAUCCCACCCUGCCGUUUCUGCUUAAAGGACAAACAACUAAUACCACCCACCCCUCUCCCUUGGUGUUGUAUCCUUGAAGGCGGUCUUUGCUACAAAACUAAGGUUGAAUGUCAGAUAAACUGUGGAUGCUAGAUGACGCUAAUGAAAGAUUAUGAAAAAGUUGUUUUUUGUCAAAACUAAGGCAAAAUCUUUGCCACAUCUCAUUAAUAAAAAGGAAGGUUAAUAA